GGCCGGGUGCUGGAAUGGUAGACAGGCGAGUCUCAAAAACUCGUGUGGCGCAAGCUUCGUGAGAGUUCGAGUCUCUCCCCGGCCACCA
This 88-nucleotide transfer RNA is filed under the name Candidatus Levybacteria bacterium RIFCSPHIGHO2_01_FULL_40_58. Its description in RNAcentral is "tRNA-Leu". It matches the Rfam family "tRNA". Rfam says of the family: Transfer RNA (tRNA) molecules are approximately 80 nucleotides in length. Their secondary structure includes four short double-helical elements and three loops (D, anti-codon, and T loops). Further hydrogen bonds mediate the characteristic L-shaped molecular structure. tRNAs have two regions of fundamental functional importance: the anti-codon, which is responsible for specific mRNA codon recognition, and the 3' end, to which the tRNAs corresponding amino acid is attached (by aminoacyl-tRNA synthetases). tRNAs cope with the degeneracy of the genetic code in two manners: having more than one tRNA (with a specific anti-codon) for a particular amino acid; and 'wobble' base-pairing, i.e. permitting non-standard base-pairing at the 3rd anti-codon position. The record is from RNAcentral. Lineage: Bacteria; Candidatus Levyibacteriota. RNAcentral also lists the same sequence under 5 other names.